RNAcentral lists this ribosomal RNA (361 nucleotides) under bacterium enrichment culture isolate 'GS-2 DGGE band-l'. Its description in RNAcentral is "bacterial SSU rRNA". It matches the Rfam family "Bacterial small subunit ribosomal RNA", at positions 555 to 916 of the family's 1533-position model. The record is from RNAcentral.
CUGGCGUAAGCGUGCGCAGGCGGUUGUGCUAGACAGAUGUGAAAUCCCCGGGCUCAACCUGGGAAUUGCAUUUGAGACUGCACGGCUAGAGUGCGGCAGAGGGGGGUGGAAUUCCUCGUGUAGCAGUGAAAUGCGUAGAGAUGUGGAGGAAUACCGAUGGCGAAGGCAGCCCCCUGGACUAGCACUGACGCUCAUGCACGAAAGCGUGGGGAGCAAACAGGAUUAGAUACCCUGGUAGUCCACGCCCUAAACGAUGUCAACUAGGUGUUGGGGAUUCAUUUCCUUAGUAACGAAGCUAACGCGUGAAGUUGACCGCCUGGGGAGUACGGUCGCAAGAUUAAAACUCAAAGGAAGUUGACGG